RNAcentral lists this ribosomal RNA (354 nucleotides) under uncultured Coriobacteriales bacterium. Its description in RNAcentral is "bacterial SSU rRNA". It matches the Rfam family "Bacterial small subunit ribosomal RNA", at positions 8 to 339 of the family's 1533-position model. The record is from RNAcentral. Lineage: Bacteria; Bacillati; Actinomycetota; Coriobacteriia; Coriobacteriales.
AGAGUUUGACUCCGUGGCUCAGGACGAACGCUGGCGGCGUGCUUAACACAUGCAAGUCGAACGGGGAUCACAUGAUUGAGAGCUUCGGCAGGAUUGAUUGUGAUUCCAGUGGCGGACGGGUGAGUAACGCGUGAGCAAUCUGUCCCAGACAGGGGGAUAACACUUGGAAACAGGUGCUAAUACCGCAUGAGACCACGGAAUCGCAUGGUUCUGAGGUAAAAGGAGCAAUCCGGUUUGGGGUGAGUUCGCGUCCGAUUAGAUAGUUGGUGAGGUAACGGCCCACCAAGUCGACGAUCGGUAGCCGACCUGAGAGGGUGAUCGGCCACAUUGGAACUGAGAGACGGUCCAAACUCC